Molecule: non-coding RNA, 69 nt
Organism: Dipodomys ordii (Ord's kangaroo rat)
Lineage: Eukaryota; Metazoa; Chordata; Mammalia; Rodentia; Heteromyidae
Source: Rfam
GUGAAGAUGGCUCAGUGGUAGAGCGCUUGCCUUACAUGCAUAAGGCCCUGGGUUUGAUUCCUCAGCACC